This 822-nucleotide unclassified non-coding RNA is filed under the name Hevea brasiliensis (rubber tree). The record is from RNAcentral. Lineage: Eukaryota; Viridiplantae; Streptophyta; Magnoliopsida; Malpighiales; Euphorbiaceae.
AAGCAUUGGCUAAUCAGUUACACUGUGUAAAUGAUAUUUACCAAAACGAAAUUUCAGAAUACUGCAAGUACCAUUUUAUUCACAUAAAUUAAAUUCAUUGUCAUAUUAAUAUAAAUGAACAAGCAAUUGCAAACCAAGAGAGAGAGACAGCCUGCAAGCAGCAAACAUCCUGAAAAAUACUCCAAAAUUUAUAGCAAAGUUGCAUACAAAUUGGGGCCCCUAUCUUUUCGUUGUGCAAGUGGUAUACAAAUUCAUAGAUAGAUUCCAUCGUAUUGCUCUCAAAGUUUUCCAAGCAUUUCAAAGCACAAAUACAUAAAAGCAGUCUCUAGAGGUGGAAAAGAAUUAUAAAUAACAUUCACUAACUGAAAUGGAAGAAUGAAAGAAGGAAUGUAGCAGGCUGAUUUAAAGAAGAAAAUAACCGUUGAAAUUCUCAAGCCGAAGGGGUUGGACCACAAAUGGGCUGAUGUUGCAGCAGGAAUUGGGCUAGAUUAGCACAUUUGUGCUCAACAAUUAGCAAACAUGUAGAUAAGAAACAACCAAUUGUAAUUAUUUUCUUUUAGCUUGUACCAAAGGAGCUCCACAUAUUUUAGCAGUUUCAUUGCAUACUCAAAAUGAACCAAACAUGACUGAUAUACUUACUAGUAAAAACAGGAAGCCAAGCAAUAUGGUCAAUGUGAAAUUUUGAAAAAAAAAUAUUUAUUCCAUUCCAGGUUCUAACUAUGGAGAAGUUGUGCAUUUCAAAAUGAAGCAUACAUGUGAAAGCUUCUAAAUCCAAAAUACUAGUCUUAGUGGUCGAGUGCAGUGUUAUCAAAGGCGCGCCUG